Molecule: ribosomal RNA, 446 nt
Filed under: uncultured bacterium
Lineage: Bacteria
Description: bacterial SSU rRNA
Rfam family: Bacterial small subunit ribosomal RNA
Source: RNAcentral
CCCAGACUCCUACGGGAGGCAGCAGUGGGGGAUAUUGCACAAUGGGGGGAACCCUGAUGCAGCGACGCCGCGUGAGUGAAGAAGUAUUUCGGUAUGUAAAGCUCUAUCAGCAGGGAAGAAAAUGACGGUACCUGAUUAAGAAGCCCCGGCUAACUACGUGCCAGCAGCCGCGGUAAUACGUAGGGGGCAAGCGUUAUCCGGAUUUACUGGGUGUAAAGGGAGCGUAGGCGGCAGGGCAAGCCUGAUGUGAAAGCCCGGGGCUCAACCCCGGGACUGCAUUGGGAACUGCCCCGCUCGAGUGCCGGAGGGGCAGGCGGAAUUCCUAGUGUAGCGGUGAAAUGCGUAGAUAUUAGGAGGAACACCAGUGGCGAAGGCGGCCUGCUGGACGGUGUACUGACGCUGAGGCUCGAAAGCGUGGGGAGCAAACAGGAUUAGAUACCCUGGUA